RNAcentral lists this long non-coding RNA (217 nucleotides) under Hordeum vulgare. Its description in RNAcentral is "long non-coding RNA (HVUL_LNC010057)". Lineage: Eukaryota; Viridiplantae; Streptophyta; Magnoliopsida; Poales; Poaceae. The record is from RNAcentral.
GGGUGUCGUUUGGAGUAGUGGGUCUAGCCAUUGAUGGACUAUCCCACACACAAGCGAGUGAAGCGGGCAAAAGAGAACGACAAAGGAAGACAGCAAAAAGGCAAAAGCCAAAAGAAAACGGCAAAGGAGAAAGGCAAAAGAGAAAGGCAAUUGAAAACGGCAAAUGUGAAGUGGGGGAGAGGAAAACGAGAGGCAACUGGCAAAAAAAAAAUUAAAC